GGUUUGAGGUGGGUUGGGUUGGUUUGUGGUGGGUUGGUUUGAGGUGGGUUGGUUUGUGGUGGGUUGGUUUGAGGUGGUUUGGUUUGAGGUUGGUUGGUUGGUUUGAGGUUGGUUGUUAUUUUGUGUGGUGGUGUUUUGUUGUUAUUAUUGUACUAAUGAAAAGCAUGACUUGGCUCACACCCCAAAAAGUUGGUAGUGGUGCUGACUAACAGCGAGUAAACUGACAGCUGUAAAAAUAAAUAGUGACACAAUCUAUAUACAAGCUUCCAGUAAUGUAUUGGGUAAACCACCAAUGUUGUUGGCAUCACUGUGCCUUAAGACCCUGGUCAUCAUAUCAAAGCAGGAAAGGAAAGUGACCUUUGAGUUAAGGAAUUGGGAGAAAAAAAAUGGCUUCUCGUCUCUGUCUGUUACUCUUUCGUUUUCUCUCUGUCUCUCUCUCUCUCUCUCUCUCUGUCUCUCUCUCCCCCCCACCACCCCCUUUCUGUCUCCCUCCCUGGCUGCUGAGGUAGUGAAGGCGCGUUGUUUGACCAAGCAGCACAGUGUAAUGACAAUCUACUCGUGUUCAU
Molecule: long non-coding RNA, 566 nt
Filed under: Salmo salar (Atlantic salmon)
Lineage: Eukaryota; Metazoa; Chordata; Actinopteri; Salmoniformes; Salmonidae
Description: lncRNA (ENSSSAG00000119985.1)
Source: RNAcentral